UAGCCAGGUGGAAAGUUUAGACAAUAGCUCGAAUUCUGUUGAGCAGUGGUCUUCCCAAUAUGGCGUUGUAAGCCAUUGGCAUACGGACAACUUCAAAGGUAGUGAUUUGCGUCACCUGUUUACCUUCAGCCCCCAAUGUUAAGGGUAACCCGACGAUACCUUCUGGGGCGAUGACCCCACCUCCAAAUCCUUGGAGGGGUGUUUUGACUGGCUUGAGUUGCUCUGAUAAGAUCCCCAUUUGAACAAAGGCUUCAUGAGACAGUACGUUUGUUGCGCUUCCGUUAUCUACCAGAAUUCUCUUGAUUUCAAAGUUGGCGAUGAUGGCCGAUAUGACAAGGGCGUCAUCAUGAGGGAACGCUAUGCCUUCCAAUCAUCCGUUCCAAAAGUGAUGUCCUCUGUAUAGCCAAGAUCUGGUCUCGAGAUGAUUGGAAGCUGCCUGGCAUACUAUUUACGCCCGCUGCUAGAAUCUCCUCCCGAGGCUGUUUCUCCGACAAUGAUAUUGAUAGUGCCUGCAGUUGGUUGCUUGUUUCCCCGAUCUUCUGGGCCUUUGCCUCCGUUCUGAUUAUUCCUUGGGCGCUUGUCAUUGCUAAUGUAAGAGCUCAGAAAUCCCCUUUUUAUAAGAGCUUCGAUUUCUCGCUUUAAGGUCAGACAGUCUUUCGUUGUAUGCCCGUGAUCUAUAUGAAAAUCACAAUAUUUACUCUUGUCACGAGUAUCGGGGAGGCCACUUCAAUUCCCUAGAGUCCUUGAUUUCCAUCAGGAUGUUGGACCUUGAAGUGUUCAAAUGGGUAAAAGACGUUGAAGGAGGAUCCUUCCUUAGUUUGACCCUAGGUGUCUCUUGUCUCAAGCUGGACUCAUGCGGUUUUUUCUGAUCUAACCUUCCUGAUGACGUCACUUCUCUUUUUGGGGUCAUGGUUUCUUCUAUAUUGAUGUACUUCCCAGCCCGUGUGAGUAGCUCGGUAAUUGACUUCGACGGGGUCUUAGACAAGGACAUCUUGAAUGCUUCACACUUAAUGGUGUAUGUCAGAGCUGAGACUGCAGCUAUGAUAUGUAGAUCGGGGAUCUGAAGCCUUUCUUUAUUGAACCUGGUCAUGAAACUGCGCAGUGUUUCAUUGGGUCCUUGACGCGUCUGCAUGAGUGAUGCAACUGUCUUUCUGAUUCGCUUGCUGUUCGCAAAGAAUGUGGAGAACUUAUCGGCCAAAUCUGAGAAGGAGGUGAUGGAGUUCGAUUCCAAUGUGGAAAACUAAUCUCUAGCUGCGUUUGUGAGGGUUUGGGGGAAUGCCUUGUACAUUACUGCAUCAGGUGCAACCUGUAAGUUCAUGAUAUCUGUGUACAUAUUGAGAUGAUUGAUGGGGUCGAUUGUCCCAUCAUACUCCUUUAUCCGCAGAUACUUGAACCUAUCGGGAAGGGGACCUUUGGAGUGAAUGGUGUAUUGGGGGUGAACCCUGUUGCUGCCCGAGUAUUUUGUUGCAUACCCGCUGCUAUCCUUUCUUGAAUAGUUCUAGCAAGUUCGGCAGAGUCCAUUGUAACGGACCUUGAACCUGAUGCCACUUGUGGUACACCUGAAGUUCCAACCCCACCGUCAUCAUGGGCUGCAUGACGGACUCGAGCUCGAGCAUCUGCCAUGAAGCCACCUUCAGGUGUUGGGGUAUGCGACAGGUGCGAAUUUCUCUGGCUUAACAAUUGGGUUAAUGCAGCCACCUGCUGAAGAAGUUCCUCAAAAGCUCCGGCAGAAACAACAGCUUGAAGAGGUGCUGGCAUCUCCAACAACUCUUCUUGAGGGAUAUGGCGUUCCUCAGGAGGAGGAGGGUUAUCCGGGACGGAUGAGCUUGUUGGAGAAAGACCUGAACGUGUAUUGACCAUGGCUUUUGGUAGCGAGUUCUCACAGAAGGCGCUAAUGAUGCUACCAAAAAAUAUUACCUGAAAGAUCUCGAAUUUGAUGAUCGAACUUUGCUUUGAUGAACACGAACGGUCUUUGAAUACCUGCAACAAAGGCAAUGAGGUGUGUGUUCGUCGUCCCUCCGAUGCUUAAGUCAGAUAGGGAAUUUAGUGCGUGAAGCUAUAAGCUGAAGAUAAUGAAAAACGUACAUCAAGAAUGAGCACAAGUUGUGUAUUUAUAGGUGUUAAUGGUGGAGUCCUAGAAGGACUUAUUCUGUCACGAUCCUUAUCCUCAAAGGAAAAGGAGUUAGUGUUUUACCUUAAGUAUUCAAAUCACUGUUUGAAUCAAAGAAGGAGUCUAACAAGGUAGGGAUUGUGGUCAAAGUAGGAUUAGUGUUCCCAUAGGUCAUAUAGAAAGGCUGACGAGUCAACAUACAUACUCCCGACCUCAAAUGUCCGACCUUGUUUUGGUGUUUUUAGGGAGUACUGAGAUCGGGGUUUAUGGUGUGAUCAGGGUUCAUGGGUCGAGUUCGGGAUUGACAAGAUCUUAGAUCAUCAAUGUGCAAUCUGAAGAAGCUAAAG
This 2457-nucleotide long non-coding RNA is filed under the name Olea europaea subsp. europaea. Lineage: Eukaryota; Viridiplantae; Streptophyta; Magnoliopsida; Lamiales; Oleaceae. The record is from RNAcentral.